CGGUGAUUACGAUAUGGCCAUAGGUCUAACCUUCCAGCUGCCUUCAAGAAGUGUUCGGAAUUAGAGUCGGAACUAAGAUCCAAAACCGAGACAAUAUAGGUUCAGCAAGUGCGGGAAGGUAGAUUGCUCCUCGGUGGAAACGGAAACACUUUGCCAGCAUGAUGGCCAGAUGUGUACGGUAUACAUUUGAUCGUGUGAAAAGAAACACCUAGUAACAUCGAACUGUGUUAAUUUUUCUUCUCCCAGCGGACUGGCUAAACUGUGUAUACUGUACCAGCAGCAUGCGGUCACAGAAAUUGUUAACCAAAACGAACAGUUGGUCACCGGGAGAACUAGUCUUCAACGUUAACCAUUGGAGAUGCAAAGCACAAGGAUAGCAUUAUCAUUGAAUCUGCAGGGUUGGAUCAUAACUGGGCUGCCGCUUAAGUUACACAAGUAGGGAAGCGUGGAUGUGGACAAUAGUUGGGCUACCAAACUGACCAUCUCGAGAAAGGUCAAGGUGAAAGAUGAUCUCGCCAAAGACGAAAAGCCACCCAAAUAAAGAUAAACUGACUAACUAACUGGUUAAAUUCAAUA
Molecule: long non-coding RNA, 576 nt
Filed under: Aedes aegypti (yellow fever mosquito)
Lineage: Eukaryota; Metazoa; Arthropoda; Insecta; Diptera; Culicidae
Description: lncRNA AAEL021096
Source: RNAcentral